CACGUAGGAGACGAGCGUUAUCCGGAUUUACUGGGCGUAAAGCGCGUGCAGGCGGUUCAGCAAGUUGGAUGUGAAAGCUCCUGGCUUAACUGGGAGAGGUCGUUCAAAACUACUGGACUUGAGAGUGGUAGAGGGAGGUGGAAUUCCGGGUGUAGUGGUGAAAUGCGUAGAUAUCCGGAGGAACACCAGUGGCGAAAGCGGCCUCCUGGACCAUUUCUGACGCUCAGACGCGAAAGCUAGGGUAGCGAAC
This 250-nucleotide ribosomal RNA is filed under the name uncultured bacterium. Its description in RNAcentral is "partial 16S ribosomal RNA". It matches the Rfam family "Bacterial small subunit ribosomal RNA", at positions 524 to 773 of the family's 1533-position model. The record is from RNAcentral.